RNAcentral lists this unclassified non-coding RNA (669 nucleotides) under Hevea brasiliensis (rubber tree). Lineage: Eukaryota; Viridiplantae; Streptophyta; Magnoliopsida; Malpighiales; Euphorbiaceae. The record is from RNAcentral.
AAUUUAGUUCUCCAUUUUCCUUGCUCCAUCAAUUAUUUUGAUGUAGGUCUUGAAGUCUAGCCAGACAAAUGAAGGUGUGUCUGAUCAGAGAAAUCAAUACGUCUAUGCUUGUGUUUUGGUCACUGAUGCUGCUCUGUUACUCAUUGAAGGCUGAAGAAAAUACUUGCUGCCAGAGAUGCCUAAUAGCUGCUUAUUAUUGUCUCUGAAUAUAAGAUCCCACACUCAAACGCGCUUGCGUGUGAAUCUUGUCAUAGGUUUUGCUAAUUCAACCAAGAAAAUAGUUUAAUUAUGUAGGAAAGAUCUUAAUAUGAUGUGAAAAUGACAUUCCUGGAGGAGCCUAUUGACGUCCUACACCAGCUAUUCAUUAUUGACAAUUGCCGUAGCUAUCAUUUGUCAGACAAAUUUCAGUGGAUAUGCUUUCAGUCUGAGACUAUUACCUAGCCAGGUCUAGGGUCCAAUUAAUCCGUACUAGCUUUGAACUAACAUUGCAAAACUUGUCUUCACCCUUCUACUGGUGGAUUUGGGUUAUAGGGCAGGUGCGAUCACACCUACUUUGGAUACAAUUGGGAACAAUAACAAUUAAAGUAUCAAGAAACGAAAUUCGAUAUCAGCUGGUUUGAUAUGUACCUCGAUGGUUUUUUGCAGACAAGGAAGACCAAAUAAAACUAG